Molecule: ribosomal RNA, 190 nt
Filed under: Porphyromonas canoris
Lineage: Bacteria; Pseudomonadati; Bacteroidota; Bacteroidia; Bacteroidales; Porphyromonadaceae
Description: partial 16S ribosomal RNA
Rfam family: Bacterial small subunit ribosomal RNA
Source: RNAcentral
AUGACAAAGAAGAGUUUGAUCCUGGCUCAGGAUGAACGCUAGCGAUAGGCUUAACACAUGCAAGUCGAGGGGCAGCACGUAUUCAGCUUGCUGAAUAUGGUGGCGACCGGCGGAUGGGUGCGUAACGCGUAUGCAACUUACCUGUCAGAGGGGGAUAACCCGGAGAAAUUCGGACUAAUACCGCAUACAC